RNAcentral lists this ribosomal RNA (443 nucleotides) under uncultured bacterium. RNAcentral's name for it is "partial 16S ribosomal RNA". It matches the Rfam family "Bacterial small subunit ribosomal RNA", at positions 338 to 795 of the family's 1533-position model. The record is from RNAcentral.
CCUACGGGAGGCAGCAGUGGGGAAUAUUGGACAAUGGGGGGAACCCUGAUCCAGCGACGCCGCGUGAGUGAAGAAGUAUUUCGGUAUGUAAAGCUCUAUCAGCAGGGAAGAAAGAAAUGACGGUACCUGACUAAGAAGCCCCGGCUAACUACGUGCCAGCAGCCGCGGUAAUACGUAGGGGGCAAGCGUUAUCCGGAUUUACUGGGUGUAAAGGGAGCGUAGACGGCGAUGCAAGUCUGAAGUGAAAGGCGGGGGCGCAACCCCUGGACUGCUUUGGAAACUGUAUGGCUGGAGUGCAGGAGAGGUAAGUGGAAUUCCUAGUGUAGCGGUGAAAUGCGUAGAUAUGAGGAGGAACACCAGUGGCGAAGGCGGCUUACUGGACUGUAACUGACGUUGAGGCUCGAAAGCGUGGGGAGCAAACAGGAUUAGAUACCCCAGUAGUC